UUAAACCUGCUUGGUUAGUGAUAGACCGAAGUUUGGACCUACAAUUCUUUUAAGGGAGCCCGGCUUACCCUGAUGGGAUGCAGACCUCCCGGCGGGAGCCGACUUGUUCCGCUGCCCGUUCGGACGCUGGGAGCAACAAAGUCAGGGACGAAGGCAUCCACCCUGUACUGACAGGGUCAGAAUUUUCGGCUACACGGCCCGGCGGGGAAACG
RNAcentral lists this small RNA (212 nucleotides) under Clostridia bacterium. RNAcentral's name for it is "6S RNA". Lineage: Bacteria; Bacillati; Bacillota; Clostridia. The record is from RNAcentral.